GUGAGCAGGAAAGAGGGGGAUCGCAAGACCUCUUGGCUUUAGGAGCGGCGAUGUCGGAUUAGCUAGUUGGGUGAGGUAAAGGCUCACCAAGGCGACGAUCCGUAGCGGGGUCUGAGAGGAUGAUCGCCACACUGGGACUGAGACACGGCCCAGACUCCUACGGGAGGCAGCAGUGGGAAUUUUGGACAAUGGGCGCAAGCCUGAUCCAGCCAUGCCGCGUGAGUGAAGAAGGCCUUCGGGUUGUAAAGCUCUUUCGGUGGGGAAGAAAUUACUUCGGUUAAUACCUGGAGUAGAUGACGGUACCCGCAUAAGAAGCACCGGCUAACUACGUG
RNAcentral lists this ribosomal RNA (332 nucleotides) under uncultured bacterium. RNAcentral's name for it is "bacterial SSU rRNA". It matches the Rfam family "Bacterial small subunit ribosomal RNA", at positions 194 to 507 of the family's 1533-position model. The record is from RNAcentral.